This 248-nucleotide ribosomal RNA is filed under the name uncultured bacterium. Its description in RNAcentral is "partial 16S ribosomal RNA". It matches the Rfam family "Bacterial small subunit ribosomal RNA", at positions 15 to 235 of the family's 1533-position model. The record is from RNAcentral.
GAUCAUGGCUCAGGACGAACGCUAGCGGCGUGCUUAACACAUGCAAGUCGAACGGAAAGAGAUGAAAGAGCUUGCUCUUUUAUUAAUUUCAGUGGCAAACGGGUGAGUAACACGUAAACAACCUGCCUUAAGGAUGGGGAUAACAGACGGAAACGACUGCUAAUACCGAAUACGUUCUAAGCAUCGCAUGGUGCAUAGAAGAAAGGGUGGCCUCUACAAGAAGGCUAUCGCCUUAAGAGGGGUUUNCG